Molecule: ribosomal RNA, 497 nt
Filed under: uncultured bacterium
Lineage: Bacteria
Description: partial 16S ribosomal RNA
Rfam family: Bacterial small subunit ribosomal RNA
Source: RNAcentral
GAUGAACGCUGGCGGCGUGCCUAAUACAUGCAAGUCGAGCGAACAGAUGAGGAGCUUGCUCCUUUGACGUUAGCGGCGGACGGGUGAGUAACACGUGGGUAACCUACCUAUAAGACUGGAAUAACUCCGGGAAACCGGAGCUAAUACCGGAUAAUAUUUAGAACCGCAUGGUUCUAUAGUGAAAGAUGGUUUUGCUGUCACUUAUAGAUGGAUCCGCGCCGCAUUAGCUAGUUGGUAAGGUAACGGCUUACCAAGGCAACGAUGCGUAGCCGACCUGAGAGGGUGAUCGGCCACACUGGAACUGAGACACGGUCCAGACUCCUACGGGAGGCAGCAGUAGGGAAUCUUCCGCAAUGGGCGAAAGCCUGACGGAGCAACGCCGCGUGAGUGAUGAAGGUCUUCGGAUCGUAAAACUCUGUUAUUAGGGAAGAACAAAUGUGUAAGUAACUGUGCACGUCUUGACGGUACCUAAUCAGAAAGCCACGGCUAACUACGUG